RNAcentral lists this long non-coding RNA (3504 nucleotides) under Cricetulus griseus (Chinese hamster). RNAcentral's name for it is "lncRNA (ENSCGRG00015038981.1)". Lineage: Eukaryota; Metazoa; Chordata; Mammalia; Rodentia; Cricetidae. The record is from RNAcentral.
CAAGUGUGAUCUGUGGGGGAAAACCAUUGGUAGUUCUGAAGGCUGGGGUCCCUGAGCCCUUCCUAUCCAUCCCUUUCUGUGUUUGUGCCUGGAGUGCCCAGGGCUUUCUCAGCUCUUUCUACUGGGGUCUAGGCUGCAGAGGAGGGGCAGAGGCCCUGGCGCCGCUGCCUUCUCGGGUGUGCUUGUUGACAGAGAUGUUUACCAUGCUCAGGUCAGCCUUUGCCCUUCUACAGCCAGCUGCAGCCUCCUCUUCCGAAGAACCUCUUAGUGGCUCUGUCAUUUGUCUAUACCACAGCUCCUGCUUGUGAUGCCUACUGGCAUUCUGGAUCCCUGGUCUUUUCCCCCUGGGGCUCUGGGCUCACAUGCACUGUCCCCAUUCUCACGGCAUUCACAUUUUCUAAGGCAGAGGAUGUGGCUAGGGAGGAGAAGGAGGAGACCCGUCAUCCUGAGGCCUGUAUCAACUGCAAACCUAGCCCUGGAAGCCCCUCUCCCCAUCCCAACUUCCCUGCUCCUCAGGCCCCACACUGAUUCCUACUCAGGCACCCUGGGAGGAGCCUCCCCCAGGAAGUCCUCCCUGACAGUUCUUCCUUCAUACCUACACUCUUUCUACAUCCUGUCCUCCCCGAGGGAGGUGGGACUGGGGGAGGGUGUUGAACUGAAAGCAUUGUUGCUUCUUGCUGCUGCUAGCCAACCCAGGAGAGUGGUACCACCUACAAGGCUCUCAGCCAAGCUCUCUGUGCUUGCCUUGGUGACCCUGCUUUUUGCCCCCUCCUUUGUUUGCUAAAGGCAGUUAGUUUACCUGAAGGCUCCAGGGCAGGAGUGGUGCAUUGCUGCCUGGAUAGCGAGCUUGGCUCUGGGCCCAUGAAACUGCAGUCGGGAAGACUCAGGAGAGAACACAAGAAUAUUCCAGAAACCCAAUACAUUGCACACACAUACACAGCUCCUCAAAUAUAUCUGUACACACACAGAUGUACAAACAGACACAUAAAGAUGCAUACAGCCACAUGGAUUUAGAGGCACACCAAGCCCCAGUGCACACAAGCUCACACAUCCAUAUGGAGGCUUGCAGGACACAGACCCAAGACACUCAGGCAUGCACCCCAUGAAGAUCCCAAAUAUGGAACUCACACAGGAAUGUUUCCCACAAAGUACCACAUACUCACAUGAGUAUUCUUGUGGACACAUACACGUGUGUCUCCCCAUCCCUUUCACUCCUUAUCUCACUAACGCAGACACACACAUCUUCCCUCUGGAGCAUCCCAGCCUACACCCAUUGCAGCCCCAAGGGGCACAGGCAUGUUGGUCUGGCAGCUAGCUGCAGUUUCCUAGGAAACGCUGCCACCGCCAUGUCAUUGCACAGCCUGGGGAGGCCUGGGGCAUAUGCUGGAUGAGCCCAAAGCCUGUCUGGAGUUCAGACUACAGAGGAUGUGCUAGAUGAAGAGGAGAUGCUCACUCAAGGACCCGAGUACAAGUAUCACUCCUUUAGCCCAAAGUUUUGCUACCCUUGGUACCAUGUGCUAGAACCUGAAGGAGAAGAGAGUACCCUCUUCCCACCUACUUGUCUCCACUCUGAUCUGCAGUGCCCAUGAGUGCUUUUGCUCAUGAAACACCUGUUUUAUUAGAGGUAAACAAACAAAACAACAAUAACAACAAAAAACCCAGCCAUGGAAAGGAGGAACUGAAGAAAAUGGGCCCUAGAGCCCAGCUUGUCCAGGAGGAGGAGGAUGAGGGUGGAGAGCUAUGAGGCCCAGUACAUGCAGAAAGGAACAACAGCCUUGGGGUGGGGGGUCCUGACUGAAGCCUCACUCCCAAUUUUGCCCAAGAGCAAUCUUAAGUGUGGGAGACCAGGCAGGGCCGGGAGGCUGAGAGAACCCUAGGAAUGUUGAGAGGGUGCCCACUCUAUCCCAUGAUUGAAACAGGGAACAAGUGUGUCAUGGCCUGCCAUUGGGGCUUUCCGUGGGGCACAGGGGUAGCUUCGGGGAGACCUGGAUACCAGGGAGCGAUGGAUGGCUCAGGAUGCUAAUCAUGGAAGGCUGGAAUGAGUGCAGUAAACCCCACCCUUCUUGCUAGAGGGGUCUUUGGUAUAUCUGAUCCCCAGAGCAUCCUCAAGCCGAGAGCUAUGUGUGGAUGGAGUAUGGGUCACCAGGAAAGUGAUAGGGAUAUUUAUAGGCAGAAUUCCAACUCUAUUUCCUUCCUACACUGGAUGCCAAACCCUGGCUCUGGCUGGCCCUGAGUCCCAAGAUCUGCACGGGGCAGGGAGUGUAUGUGCUCCUUGGAGGGAGAAAGCUAAAACAACAAGGGGAGAAAAUACAGGAUGAAUAGACAGGGUAGGAGAGAACAGGAGAGGACCUGGGAGGGCAGAAGGUGGAGGCCCUGGGCAACCGCACAGUCUGAAACAACACCAGGAACAAGGAUGCCUAGUGUUGGCAGGACUCUCAGGGCCACCCUGUCAAGGCUCCUUUUCCUCAAGGCUCUCUUCCUUUCUACAGCAGUAUUCUCCCUCCCUGCGUCUCACACAGUGCACACUCCUCUACGUGGGGGGACUUGACCUACAGGAGCCAGACCCAGGCCCCGUCUACCUCCUCUCCCUGGCUUGCCAGCAGUAAUGACAGUGACUAUCACAGAGACGAAGGUCACAGUCAUGGUCAUGAUGGUGGCGACGACGACAAAGACAUGAAGAAGGUUGUGACGGGGUUUAAGUGGAAAAUGAUGGUGGUGAAGUCGGUAACGGCAAAAGUGGUGGUUAUUACGACGGUGGUAGAGUUGAAAGUGCUAAUGAAGAUGAUGUUAGAAGUGAUUGUGAGGUGAUGGUGUUAGUGAAGUUAGCAGAGGUGCUGGCGAUGAAAAACGGUGACGAUGAAGGUGCUGACGGGAAUGAAGGUGAUGGUGACGGUGGUGGCGGUGAAGACAAUGGAGGUGUUGAUGGUGAUAAUGGCGGUAAGCCAAUGAUUCUUAGGGGAGUGGUGAAGAUGAAGAUAACGACGAUGAGGAUGAGGAUGAUGGGGGAACCACCUGCAACCAACUUCUUAGGCCUCCAGCAUGCAGCCGCCAGCGGCCCUUGCUGCUUGUGGAUGCCUGGGGUCCCUGGAAUGGAUUUCUCCCUUUUCUUCUUAGAGCUCUUAGCAACCGACCGAGUCACAGGAAGACGGUGAAAUGCAACCAUCCUGCGUGCUGUGUCGGGGAAUUCCCUGAGCCACUGUGCAGACAGCAGUGAAAGCCCACCUGGUGAUAAUUAAGAAUUUGUGGACAGAGGCUUCUAUGUGAUGCUGCAAUGGGAGACCUGACUGUGUGACUAUGCCUAAACCCAUAGAAUGUGCAGCUCCAAGAGUCUACUCUCAUGUGGUGACGGGAUGUCUGUUGGUAAUAGUGUCCAUACCAGCUCUGCCAGACAAGUCACCCCACUGACAGAAGUGAAGGACGGCCGGCGGGGGGAGGGGGAGCACAAAAAGCAUGUGGGAUUCUCUUCAACUAUUAGUUAACUUGCUGCAAACAAAGACAACUCCA